UCCUGCGUGACCUCGUGAACUCGCCUGCAGCGUGACCUCGAGAGGCAGCCACCCUGACGGCUCCACGAAACACCCCUCCACAUCCCUGGGCUCGGUUGUGCAGGCUGCUACCCAAGCAGGAAGUGACAUCAACGGGUCCAAACUAAAAAAACAUGUAGCAGGACGGGGCUGUCUGGGAUGACCAGGACCGGUGGUUUGCGAGGGAAGGAGGAUGCCACGCGCAAAGUGAGGGACGCGGGAGAGCGCCGCACACACACAGGCGAGCCAGACAGACGCACUGGAGGCUGAUGGCCUCCCUGGUCUGGGUGGAGCUGACGGAGAGCUGCAGCCCCGGACGGCAUCAAACCGGCCGCUCGUACCUCUGCUCCUGGCUAUCAUCACCCACUCUGGCCCCGUCGUGAUGAUCACCUGAUCUCUGCCAGUGUAGUCCCAUGCAGCCGGCACAGUGAGGCCCGUCAAGCCAUUAGCGAGUCCCAGCACUGAUAAUGAAGCCACUGAGGUGGUCUGAGCCAGUGUGGCGCAGGAGCUGGAGCGCGGGAGGAAGGUAGAUUAGGAUAAUUACCUGGCCAUGGGGGCACGAUGACAAAGACUCACUUCCUGCAGGCUUCAAUCGCGGAGGGGCACAAUAUAAUCAGGUGUCCUCACAUGUAUGUACUGUACGUGUGUUCAUUUGCUGUUUGUGUGUCGAGGUUCCUCACACGUUCUGUGAGUUUAAUCCUAAAUAUCCACACUCAUGGAGACUUUGAAGAGCCUAUGAGAAUGUUCUCUUGGAAGUUCCAUUUUCAAAAAGUCUCCUUGUUGACCCGCAUCUAUUUAAUUUGUCAGAUGUUCCAGGGUAUUAUCAGCACACUCACAACAUUUAUGUGGUGUUAUUUAUAACCAGAUUUGACAGCAUUGGAGUCUUCAUACGAUGAUCGUGCCUGUUGAGCUUGUUGUGCACCAGACUGUUGUGACUACUCGCCUGCUUGUCAGUUGACUCUGGCUGCCUGAACACUGAUAUGACUGACUGGGAGCAGUGGGGCCGAGCUCCAGCUGACUCCACCGUCCUCCUCGCCCAUAUUAAAUGUGCGUGGCCUGCCGUCCCUCUGGGGGCACCUGGCUCCCCUCCCUGCCAUCUCUGGCUGGAUCGAUUGCAGAGGCCAUCCCAGUACAGAGACCGGGGUCAGCUUCAAAGGCCGCCUGCCCACUUCCUGCCACCUGGUGUUCCGUUUUGGAUGAAGGGUAUAUUUCCCUUCCGUUCCCUCCGCACACCGUCGCCCCAUUCUUCGAACAGGUCAAGGACGUGGAGUGUGUACAGCUCCUCCCUGUGAUCUGCUUCAGCCCCGUCCCCGGCCGGCCACGCGGGGAGAGAGUGAAAGAUCAGUCCCAUCCAAGAACCACCAUCACACACCCGUUUGAAGUGAAACCUGCUUCUGAUUUAACUGUGGCCUAAGAAUGAGCCGGUUGUACAAGGUCAUAGUCAGAUUUUUCUUGGACUGACAAGUGGUGAGUUCAAUAUUUACAUCAUAUUGCGUCAAUCAAAUUUUAAAUAAAUCAAUCAUAAACUCAAUUAGAGGAUCGAUGGAAAUGUCCCCGUCAACACUAAAUGUUGUUUCUCAUUUGUGGCAUGAAUCUAUAAAUCAGCAUGAUGGAAAAGUUAUUUAAAAAAUAAAAGCUUGUUUAAAAUAAACCAGUAGAUAAAGUGAACUUUUUGGCUCCAGCUUGAAACAUGUUCCAGUAUUAACUGAUCAUCAGAUCUGCUGUGGUAUGAGCCUCUCUCUCCCUUUCCCGGUUGGUCCAGUAACAAAUGGCAGGGCUAUGGAACACACAUUUCAUGUCCACGAGAGCUGUCGGACAAUUAGCUCCA
This is a long non-coding RNA of Platichthys flesus (European flounder), 1846 nucleotides long. RefSeq lists it as uncharacterized. The transcript has 6 exons. Lineage: Eukaryota; Metazoa; Chordata; Actinopteri; Pleuronectiformes; Pleuronectidae. The record is from RefSeq and is a predicted model, not a curated record.